Molecule: long non-coding RNA, 1050 nt
Filed under: Strigops habroptila (Kakapo)
Lineage: Eukaryota; Metazoa; Chordata; Aves; Psittaciformes; Psittacidae
Description: lncRNA (ENSSHBG00005004848.1)
Source: RNAcentral
AGUGGAAGCAAACAGGUUUUAAAACACGGGGGGAGAGGCUGCGUACAACAGAACAACCUGUUCUGAACAAGCAGAGCUUUUUGCUUCUGAGAGGCUGAGACAAAUGGAGGGAGCAAGGUUUUCACUUUAGGUAUCGAGAGAGAAAUGUCAAGAAGGUGGGCAGGACUGCAGAGCAGCAGAGCCCUGGCUGUGCAGUGCAUGCCCACCUCAAGUGCAAGCUCAGAGCAACUUCCCAAGCUGUGGUGACUGGGAAGCUCCCGUCCCCCAUCGCGGUCUGCGUGGCAGGGAAUAGCUGUGCUUCUGAGGUGCCUCCUCUCUAGCUGUGCUCCAGCAUGAACACUAACAGGGCACUGAAUUACUGAGUGGUGAAGAGAAGCCAUUGGGGUGUAGUACUUUACAGCUGCCUUCAAGCAAAGCGUAUUCAGACUUUGUAGGAAACCUGUAGUAACAGGAGGCUCCGUUCUGGCUCAGGUUCAGUUCUGUGUGAACUCAGCUGAGGCACUGGAAUGUACAUAAACGGGUUAAAAUUGUUGUUGAUGUCCUUGAGGAGGGUUGGGCCUUUAACAGUCCCUUAGAACCCAAACUGUUCUAUGAUUUAAAUGUGAAAGGUUUUUGGUGUUUGGAGUUUUUUUAAGCAUUAAGCCUCUGCUAAGAUAAGAGAGAAUGAAUGCCCCAGAGAGCCUAGGCAGGAUGGGCAGGAGCUCCCUGCUUUUAAAUAUCAAGAGUCACAGAUCGAAGUUAAAACGCACACAUUCCUGUGUGUUAUGGUUUGUCUGUGAUCACGUUGGUGUUACAAACACGGGCUCCGUGUGUAUAGUUUGCACUUAACCAGGAGAGUAGUAUUAAUUUUUAAAGAAGUAACUGUUGCUUAAGAUGCUAUUGUGUUGGGGCAAUGAAUUUUUCAUGUUUUUGUAGUACAUGCACGGAUGAAAAUCCAUUAUUUAUUGUACCUCCACUUGGUUGGGAAAGGUGAUGGUUUUACAGCACCAGCAGCCAUGCAAACACAGCCAUUCUGAACUGCUGGCUGAUAAUAAAUUUCCUUACUGUAAA